Molecule: ribosomal RNA, 505 nt
Filed under: uncultured Glomeromycotina
Lineage: Eukaryota; Fungi; Glomeromycota
Description: partial small subunit ribosomal RNA
Rfam family: Eukaryotic small subunit ribosomal RNA
Source: RNAcentral
CCAAUAGCGUAUAUUAAAGUUGUUGCAGUUAAAAAGCUCGUAGUUGAAUUUCGGGAUUGGCGCAUCGGUCGUGCCUUAAGGGGCAUGAACUGGUGUAGCCAAUUUCUCACCUUCUGGAGAACCGCGAUGUCCUUAAUUGGGUGCCGCGAGGAACCAGGACCUUUACUUUGAAAAAAUUAGAGUGUUUAAAGCAGGCAUUUUGCUUGAAUACAUUAACAUGGAAUAAUAAAAUAAGACGGAUGAUUCUAUUUUGUUGGUUUCUAGGACAACCGUAAUGAUUAAUAGGGAUAGUUGGGGGCAUUAGUAUUCAAUUGUCAGAGGUGAAAUUCUUGGAUUUAUUGAAGACUAACUACUGCGAAAGCAUUUGCCAAGGAUGUUUUCAUUAAUCAAGAACGAAAGUUAGGGGAUCGAAGACGAUCAGAUACCGUCGUAGUCUUAACCAUAAACUAUGCCGACUAGGAAUCAGACGAUGUUAAUUUUUUAAUGACUCGUUUGGCACCUUACG